Molecule: ribosomal RNA, 430 nt
Filed under: uncultured bacterium
Lineage: Bacteria
Description: partial 16S ribosomal RNA
Rfam family: Bacterial small subunit ribosomal RNA
Source: RNAcentral
GACGAACGCUGGCGGCGUGCCUAACACAUGCAAGUCAGGGAUUGAAGGGUAGCAAUACUUUUUCAAGACCGGCGCACGGGUGAGUAACACGUAGGUAAUCUACCCUUAGGCGGGGAACAACCCCGAGAAAUCGGGGCUAAUACCGCAUAAUGCAACGAGACCACAUGAUUUUGUUGUUAAAGAUCCGCAAGGAUCACCAGAGGAUGAACCUGCGUCCGAUUAGCUAGUUGGCGGAGUAAUAGCCCACCAAGGCGACGAUCGGUAGCCGACCUGAGAGGGUGAUCGGCCACACUGGAACUGAGAUACGGUCCAGACUCCUACGGGAGGCAGCAGUGAGGAAUAUUGGUCAAUGGCCGAAAGGCUGAACCAGCAACGCCGCGUGAGGGAUGAAGGUCUAAGGAUUGUAAACCUCUGUUAGGAGGGACGAAUA